CGGUUGAUCCUGCCGGACCCGACUGCUAUCGGGCUGGGACUAAGACAUGCAAGUCGUGCGUCGGCGCCAUGCCCGCCGACGCGGCGGACGGCUCCGUAACACGUCCCCAACCGAACCUCGGGACCGGGACACCCUCGGGAAACUGAGGGUAAUCCCGGAUAGAGGUGGGCUGGUGGAAAACCCCCACCUCGAAAAGGGGCCCGAGGCAAUGGUCGGGCACCCGCCCGAGGACGGGGGGGCGGCCCAUCAGGUAGUAGGUGGGGUAACGGCCCACCUAGCCUAUGACGGGUACGGGCGCUGGGAGGCGGAGCCCGGAGAGGGGCACUGAGACAAGGGCCUCAGCCCCACGGGGUGCAGCAGUCGCGAAACCUCCGCAAUGCGCGCAAGCGCGACGGGGUCAGCCCGAGUGCCACCCGAGAGGGUGGCUGUGGCCCGCCGUAAAAAAGCGGGCUUAGAAAGCGGAGGGCAAGGCUGGUGCCAGCCGCCGCGGUAAAACCAGCUCCGCGAGUGGUCGGGGCGAUUGCUGGGCCUAAAGGGUCCGUAGGCGGCCCCGCAAGUCCGCGGCUAAAUCCCGGGUCUCAAGCUCGGGACUGCUGCGGAUACUGCGGGGCUAGGGACCGGGAGAGGCCGGGGGUACCUCCGGGGUAGGGGCGAAAU
RNAcentral lists this ribosomal RNA (657 nucleotides) under uncultured archaeon. Its description in RNAcentral is "bacterial SSU rRNA". It matches the Rfam family "Archaeal small subunit ribosomal RNA", at positions 5 to 638 of the family's 1478-position model. The record is from RNAcentral.